ACAAAAACCCUAAGCCGGCAACCUUGCACCACUCAGACCACCGGAGAUCGUUGUUGUGUUGAGCCGGAGUCACCGCGUGAAUCAUCCUCACCGGAGAGAUCUGUGCCACUCCGCUGUUCCAACCGCCAAGCAAACCGUAAGGGAGACUCGUCGAGAAAAGUCACCGAGAAAGAUUGAGAUCGUUAUUGGACCUUUUCUUGUUGCUGUUAUUUCGAAACCGUGUUAUCCAACCGAGUUGCUAAGGUGAGGAAGAGAAUGUUGAGUAGCUGCUCGUUUGGUGUUAUUUCGGGAACUUUGGGUUUUAUUUGAUUUAUCGAUAUUUCUUAUAUUUCUAAACACGGUUUCUUUAUACAUUUUUAUCCAACGAUUUUAAUUUAUUUAUGCUAUUAUUUUGAGAC
Non-coding RNA from Arabidopsis thaliana (thale cress), 398 nucleotides. The record is from RefSeq. Lineage: Eukaryota; Viridiplantae; Streptophyta; Magnoliopsida; Brassicales; Brassicaceae.